AGAGAGAGAGAGAGAAAUAUUUGAUCAACAUUAUGAGGGAACUAUUUUUCUUUGCAUAUAAAUAAAAAGGGGGAUAUGAGUUUGCUUUCAUUAGUCCUGACUUUUUAUUUAGUUUUUACUAGUGUGGUUGUUUCUUUCUGGCAUCAAAGGCACUCAUCCUACUUGAGAAUCAUUUGCACCUUUGUUUUCCACAUAUUUUCAUUCUAGUUCUUCUUGCCAUUGCUCAUUUAAAGUUUCCAUGACCAUAUUUA
Molecule: unclassified non-coding RNA, 251 nt
Filed under: Hevea brasiliensis (rubber tree)
Lineage: Eukaryota; Viridiplantae; Streptophyta; Magnoliopsida; Malpighiales; Euphorbiaceae
Source: RNAcentral